GAGCGAGGGAAGGAGAGACUCAAGGAAGGAGCCGGGCGCUCGAGCUGCGGUGGGCGUUGCGAGGUGAAACAACAGUCGCAGAGGCCGUGACAGUUGGUCUCUCCUGGCGCAGUCCAGCCCACGGAUCCGCGGUGGAGAACACGAGCACCGCUCGGCUCGCUUGCAAGCUCCAGGGUAGGGCACCCAGGCCUGUCAAGGACCGCCGAGCAAGCGUCGCCGGGACAGCUGGCCCCGCAGAAAUAAUUGGUAACAAGACCUCCGUAGCCAUGGCUAGUUCUGACGUGAAACCAAAAUCCAUAAGUCGUGCCAAAAAAUGGUCAGAAGAGAUAGAAAAUCUGUACAGAUUUCAACAAGCAGGAUAUCGAGAUGAAAUUGAAUAUAAACAAGUGAAACAAGUUUCUGUGGUAGAUCGUUGGCCAGAGACAGGAUAUGUGAAGAAACUUCAGAGAAGGGACAAUACUUUCUAUUACUACAACAAACAGAGGGAAUGUGAUGACAAGGAAGUCCACAAAGUGAAAAUUUAUGCUUACUAGCCUUCCUGAUAUUUCCUGUCAUUAUCUUUUAAAAAUCCAUUGUUUCAUUCUGCAUCAUGUAAGUGCCUGUCAUUGUACAAAAUUCCCCACAAUGCAGACUCUGAUGGCAUGUUUUGAAACACCAAAGCCAUGAAGCUUGGUCUCUACUAAUCAUCCUGUUCUGUUCUAAAAUAUAACUGCAGUAGCUUUCCACUGGUACCCGCCUUGGUCUGCUUCUUCCUGUUUUAACUGUGGCAGCGUAACUUCUAUGCAGGGGAUCCAAGAGCCCUCACUGCAGUCCUUCCAGGUAAGGUUAUGUAGAUGUUAGUGCCCCACCCCCACCCCAACUUUUAUCACGUUUCUGGACCAUCACUUUGAACCGCAUUGUGCAUUGUGCAGCCCAAGGGCUUCUCUGGCCUAGAGAGUCCUUUGCCCAUUGCCUAGUUGACUGGAAAUGCCAAGAAGUGACAGUGCUUGAGGCAGAGGAUUAUCAAAGGCCCAGCCAUGCGGCUCCCUUGGAGAAAUCAGCCUGAGGUUAAUCUUUAGUUGGGUGCAGCAGGAUCUCAUUGAACACCAGCCCAAGUAGGAGAGAUACUGGUCACCUCCCUUCCUUGCCCCUUACCCCACUCCCCUGCCAGUGGUCCUUUCUCUCCUGAACCACUUCCUUGGGCCUGAAGCCUUGUCCAGGGUUUGGCUUCUGGUCCCCCACCCCCCACCCCAAUAGAAAACUUGUUCCAGUGCUUCCUGGAAUCACUGCAGAAACAGCCUAAGUGCCGACAGGCAAGAAAGGCAAUAAUUAACCCGUAAGACUUCAGAAAUCCCUCCAAUAGUGAGUCUUGAGGGCUUUGAAAUUAAAUACAUGAAAGGUAUCAUUUUUAUUAUAACUUCUCUCUUUAUUUUUAUUUUUGUCACUGAUAAGACUUUUGAUUUGUUCCCAUUGAUAAGUUCUGACCUUCACAUAGAUUUGGGGGUAGAAGCUCAUAUCUAUCCAUUCAUUCAAAUUCAGUUCCCCUUUUCCAGAGGUAUCUGCCCCAUGAAGCUCUGUUAGUUUUUCCCAAUUCAAAAUUGUGCCUUAUUCAGAACAGACACAUUGUGGAAAGGAGAGAGAGGCAGAGUCUCCAGAAUUAAACACAGCCCUGCCAACACCUUGGUUUUACCAAAUAAGACCCAUUUCAGACUUCUGGCUUCCAGAACUGUAAGAGAAUAAACUCAAUGCUGUUUGAAACUCCUUGGUCUGUGGUGAUUUGUCAGAAUGGCAGUAGGAAACAGACAGCUGCAGAGAAUAGAUGAAGUCAGUAACCAUGUGAAACUGACAGCACUAAUAGCCUGAACCUAGCCAGAACCCAGAUUGGGACUUGAACCCAUAGUUUUUAUUUUUUUUUUUUAAAUUUUAUUUUUUGUCUUUUUGCCUUUCCUAGGGCUGCUCCCUCGGCAUAUGAAGGUUCCCAGGCUAGGGGUAUAAUCAGAGCUGUAGCCACAGGCCAACACCAAGCCACAGCAAUGCGAGAUCUGAGCCGCGUCUGCAACCCACACCACAGCUCACAGCAACGCCACUCGACUUAACCCACUGAGCAAGGCCAAGGAUCGAACCCGCAACCUCAUGAUUCCUAGUCGGAUUCGUUAACCACUAAGCCACAACGGGAACCCCGAACCCAUAGUUUAUAAAUUAGAAUCACUCAUCCGGUGUAUGGACUUACUGAGGUUUGGGUUCUUUAUGCAUCUGCACAGAAGGAAUUCAGUGAGAGACAAAGUGAUAGGCAAGAAAUAGAAUUAUUAAGGUGAGACACUUGUGAGAGAUGCAAGCAGGCAGGCAGGGAGGCUCUGCCUCAAGGAUCAGUUGGGGUACAGUCUUAUAACCCUGGGGUAGUGGGAAACGACCGCCUCUUCCUAUUUCUUCAAGUAGUAGCACCUCUUCUUAACCCAUAAAAGAGUAUUUGACCCUAUGAGGUCAAACUAGGACUGUAAUGGUGCUUAUUCAAAUCAGCAGAAGGGUGGUCCUUAAAUUCCUGCCCUUGGUUUGAAUCUGAAUCCAGGCCUCACCCCAUCCCCUGCCCAAUGAUCUGAGCCAUAUCUCACACCUUCACUAGUCAAGCAAGCCUGCCUUGUUCUGAUGGCCCUCUUGAGCAGUUAUUAACUUACAGUGAUCUUCCAAAGUCCCCUAGCUUUCCAUCUCUAUCUAUGAUCCCCUAUUGUGACUUCUGCAAGUACAUGUGCCUACUCCGUCACUAUCACAUCUAGUAUCGAAGUCAACAUGAGCAUCAGCCACAGCCUACUUUUUGUAAUAUUUCGUUACAGGUUGAUUCAAUCCAAAGAAGUUGGUCAGGUAGGGUUUGCCUGGAACGCUCUCAGUAAUUAGCUCCAAGGUUCUAAAGGCCACUGUGUCUGUCUGCAACAAGAUUAACUUCAGAAACAUGGCCUUUGGGACCAUGGGACACAAUUUUGGUUUACUCAGUCCAUGUGUCUAGUCUUUUCCCAAUGUGCCUUAUGGUGGGCAUAACUCGUGCCAACCUUUCUUUAAAAGUGGGCCAACAACUUUCUUGGCUCUUUUUGACCACUUUUCAUAAAUGCCUGUGCCUGCUGACCACCAUGCUCCUGCUGAGAACGGUGUCCACAGUCAGUUGAGUGUCUGUUCUGUGGUGGGACUUGACCCACAGGCCUUGGUCUAUGGUGUUACCAAACUCUGGCUGCUUGCCACUCAAAGGCCAAUAAUCAACCAAUGGGACCUAGUUAAACUUAAAAGUUUUGCUCAGCAAAGGAAACCAUUAAAAAAAGAAAAGAAAAGACAACCCACAGAAUAGGAGAAAAUAUUUGCAAACAAAACAACCAACAAGGGAUUAAUCUACAAAAUAUACAAACAUCUCACAGAGCUUUAUAUCAAAAAAUAAAAAACCCAAUCAAAAAAUGGGCAGAAGAUCUAAAAAGACAUUUCUCCGAGGCAGACAGACAGAUGGCCAAAAAACACAUGAAAAGAUGCUUAACACGACUAAUUAUUAUAGAAGUGAUAGUUAAACGACAAUGAGGUAUCACCUCAUACCAGUCAGAAUGGCCAUCAUCAAAAAGUCUACAAACAAUAAACGCUGGGAAGAGUGUGGAGAAAACAGAACCCUCCUCCACUGUUGGUGGGAAUGUAAAUGGGCGCAACCACUAUGGAGAGUAGUACGGAGGUUCCUUAAAAAACUAAACAUAGAACUACCAUAUGAGGGAGACAGGGAUUAAGAUGGCAGAGGAGAAGGACUGGAACUCACCUUCUGCCAUAAAAGCAACAAAAUUACAACCAACUGCUGAACAACCUUCAGCCAAAUAGACUGAAAACUAUCAAAAAAGGAUAUCUUACUCCAGAAGACAAAGAGGAGGCCACAUCAAGAUGUAGGAAGGGUGAUUAUGUGAUAUAAGCAACCCCAUACCCACUGGGUGGGCAGCCCACAAACUGGAAAGUAACUAUCACAGAGGCUCACCCAUGGGAGUGAGAGUUCUGAGCCCUAUGUCAGGUUCCCAUUCCUGGGAAUCAGGCAUUGGGAGGAGGAGCCUCCAGAGAAUUUGGCAUUGAGAGCCAACAGGGCUUGUGCUCAGAAUCUCCAUGAGACUGGGGGAAGUGGACUCCUUCCGUGAAAGGCAUACACAGGCUUCCAUGUGCGCUGAGUCUCAGGGCAAAGCAGAGACUCCAAAGGAAUAUGGGUCAGACCUGACUGCAGUUCUUGGGGGAUCUCCUGGGAAAAUAGGGGGUGACUGUGGCUCAUUGUGGGGGAAGGACAUUGGAGGCAAAUCUCAGGAAUAAUCAGCAUGUGCUCCUCUAGAGGUGGCCAUUUUGGAAAACUCUGGCCCCACUCAUCAGCACUGAAAAGCCCCAGGCCAAACAACAUCUGCUUGGGAACACAGUCCCACCCAUCAGAAAACAGACUGCCUAAAGACCCUCCAGGCACAAAGCUGCCUCUAAUAUCACCUAGAGACAAAGCCCCACGCAGCAGAGGGAUAAGAAUCAGCUCUACCUACCAGUGGGCAGGUACCAGUACCAUCAGGAAGCCUGCAGGAAGCCCGUGUACCAACUUCACCCAAAAGGGGAGCAGACAUCAGAAGCAAGAGAGGCAAUGACCCUAUGUCUGCAAAAAGGAGACCACCAAAAAUCAACACAAAAUGAAAAGACAGAGAAUUAUGACUCAGAUAAGGGAACAAGAAAAAAGCUAAGUGAUAUGGAGAUUAACAACCUCCAAGAAAAAGACUUUAGAAUGAUAAUAGUAAAGGUGAUUCAAGAUCUUGGAAAUAAACUGGAGGCAAAGAUUCAUAAAUUACAAGAAACAAUGGCAUUCCUGUUGUGGCACAGUGGUUAAUGAAUACGACUAGGAACCAUGAGGUUGCAGGUUUGGUCCCUGGCCUCGCUUAGUGGGUUAAGGAUCUGGCAUUGCCAUGAGCUGUGGUGUAGGUGGCAGACGCAGCUUGGAUCUGGCAUUGCUGUGGCUCUGCUGUAGGCCGGUGGCUACAGCUCUGAUUGGAUCCCUAGCCUGGGAACCUCCAUAUGCCAUGGGAGGGGCCCUAAAAAAGGAAAAAAAAAAUUACAGGGAACAAUGAACAAAGAAAUAGAAGAUUUAAGGACUAAGCAAGAAGAGAUGUAAAAUACAACAACUAAAUAAAAAAUUCACUAGAGGCAACCAACAGCAGAAUACAGGAGGCAGAAGAAUGAAUAAACAGGGUGAAGGAUAGACUAGUUGAAAUUACUGAUGCAGAACAGAAAAGAGAAUAAAGAUUUAAAAGAAAUGAAGAGAGUCUAAGAGAACUCUGGGACAAGUUAAAUGCACCAUAAUCCAUAUUAUAGGGAUGCCAGAAGGAGAAGAGACAGAGAAACGGACAUAAAAAAUAUUCGAAGAGAUAACAGCAAAAAAUUUCCCUAACAUAGGAAAGGAAUCAUUCACUCAAAUCCAGGAAGCACAGUGAGUACCAUAUAAAAUAAACCCAAGGAGGAACACCCCAAGACACAUAUUCAUCAAACUGACCAAAAUUAAAGAUAAAGAGAAAAUAUUGAAAGCACUAGGGAAAAGAAAAAAAA
This 5550-nucleotide long non-coding RNA is filed under the name Sus scrofa (pig). Its description in RNAcentral is "lncRNA (ENSSSCG00050002867.1)". The record is from RNAcentral. Lineage: Eukaryota; Metazoa; Chordata; Mammalia; Artiodactyla; Suidae.